CGGACAGAAGGGAGCUUGCUCCCGGAUGUUAGCGGCGGACGGGUGAGUAACACGUGGGUAACCUGCCUGUAAGACUGGGAUAACUCCGGGAAACCGGAGCUAAUACCGGAUAGUUCCUUGAACCGCAUGGUUCACGGAUGAAAGACGGUUUCGGCUGUCACUUACAGAUGGACCCGCGGCGCAAUACCUAGUUGGUGGGGUAAUGGCUCACCAAGGCGACGAUGCGUAACCGACCUGAGAGGGUGAUCGGCCACACUGGGACUGAGACACGGCCCAGACUCCUACGGGAGGCAGCAGUAGGGAAUCUUCCGCAAUGGACGAAAGUCUGACGGAGCAUCGCCGCGUGAGUGAUGAAGGUUUUCGGAUCGUAAAGCUCUGUUGUUAGGGAAGAACAAGUGCGAGAGUAACUGCUCGCACCUUGACGGUACCUAACCAGAAAGCCACGGCUAACUACGUGCCAGCAGCCGCGGUAAUACGUAGGUGGCAAGCGUUGUCCGGAAUUAUUGGGCGUAAAGGGCUCGCAGGCGGUUUCUUAAGUCUGAUGUGAAAGCCCCCGGCUCAACCGGGGAGGGUCAUUGGAAACUGGGAAACUUGAGUGCAGAAGAGGAGAGUGGAAUUCCACGUGUAGCGGUGAAAUGCGUAGAGAUGUGGAGGAACACCAGUGGCGA
This 668-nucleotide ribosomal RNA is filed under the name Bacillus sp. (in: firmicutes). RNAcentral's name for it is "bacterial SSU rRNA". It matches the Rfam family "Bacterial small subunit ribosomal RNA", at positions 67 to 718 of the family's 1533-position model. The record is from RNAcentral. Lineage: Bacteria; Bacillati; Bacillota; Bacilli; Caryophanales; Bacillaceae.